Tyto alba (common barn owl) is the source of this 1457-nucleotide long non-coding RNA. RefSeq lists it as uncharacterized. NCBI's taxonomy places the organism in Eukaryota, Metazoa, Chordata, Aves, Strigiformes, Tytonidae. The transcript has 7 exons. The record is from RefSeq and is a predicted model, not a curated record.
CCCCUCCCCCCGGUUUGACACCCCCUCCCGCCCCGCUCCGCCCUCCUCCCCGCCCCGCCGGUUGUCCCUCCGUAAACGGAAGCCGAGGAGGGACGAAGGAGCCGGGGAGGAGGUUGGAGCAGCGCGAUGGGGGACUCCAAAGUGAAGGUGGCGGUGCGCGUCCGCCCCACGAACCGGCGAGCGGCCGAGAGUCAUGAAUGCCUCACAACUGGUGACUGCAGAGCUAGAAAAUGGAAUGACAACAGCUCAGCAGCCGCUUUAGAGACAGCCAGCGUGGCUUCGCCGAGGGCAAAUCGUGCCCGACUAAUCCAGCGGCCUUCCAUGAUGGAGUGACGGCAUUAGAGGACGAGGGAAGAGCUACGGAUGUCACCUGCCUGGAGGACGUCAGUGAGGCACGGACAGUUUUGCAGGCAUCCAUGAGUGAAGGACCAGAGUACCUCAAUCUGUCCCUUCAACAAUCCUUCCCCGCUCCAUGUUUUCAAUUGGAAACCGCACCAGUGAGCUCCUAAAUCCAGGCGGCGCCUCUGCAGAAGUGGAGCAAAACCAACAUGAUUCAGCAGAUGAAGCUGUAAAAUAUUCCAACCUUUGAAGUCAAGGCAGUUCAGCCCUGACCAUUCAUGUAUCUCAGAAGUACUAGGAGAUAAACGCGGGAAACAUUACACAGCUCGACUGAAAAGCAAGAUAAACCUGAAGGCAAACUUAUCGUACCAGAAUAAAACUCUUUACUCCUGGGACUGGCCAAAACAACAAUCUAUGAAAAAUGCAAAACAGCAACAGGAGGCAGGGGCUCGCAUAAAGGAAAUGUCCAGAGGCAAGACUGCAGAGCCAUGAGAAGUCAUCGCCUUCCCAGAGCCCCGAUAAAACCCGACGUUGAAGCUGAGGAUGGUUCUUUGGCCUCCGAGGAUGUCUCCGUCUUCAGAGAAGUUUGCAGAACGUAGCAACGAUCACGUGCGAAUCUGGUUUCUCUUUGGCAAUUAGAAUGGAAGAAAGGUUGAAAGGGUGACUCAACAGAAAAAACAUCACCCUCCACUUGCGGCUCAUCAUGCCCAGCUGUAAAGCGGGGAUUAUAUUUACCUCCAUUGCAAAGUACUCGGUUUCAGAAGACGUUGGUGCGGUUUGCUGAGGCCCCGGCUGGAAAAUACCACAAGAAGUUCAAAGCCCGGUUUCAUCCUGUAAUUGGAUCCUCAAGUCCACAAGUGCAAGAACCAACUGUGCGGGCUGACAGCAGGUCCUCCCCUCUUCCAACAAGAACCCCACCACAACACGGGGCUGUGGGGCUGAGCUGCAAGCGUGGCAUACCCAGGAGCUGCUACUUUCUGCUGCUAUGCACAAAAAAAUGUUGUUUAAAGCUUUUGCCACCCUGUUUGAUCUGACCUGCUGUUAUUUUUUCUUUCUUUUUUUUUUUUUUAACUCUAAGACAUCUUCUUAACUCUCAUGCUCACUUGGGAUGCUCUUAA